RNAcentral lists this transfer RNA (69 nucleotides) under Coleoptera sp. 14 KM-2017. RNAcentral describes it as "tRNA-Lys". Lineage: Eukaryota; Metazoa; Arthropoda; Insecta; Coleoptera. The record is from RNAcentral.
CAUUAGAUAACUUAAAGCAAGUACUGGUCUCUUAAACCAUUUUAUAGUAAUUAACGCCUACUUCUAAUG